Molecule: ribosomal RNA, 484 nt
Filed under: uncultured bacterium
Lineage: Bacteria
Description: partial 16S ribosomal RNA
Rfam family: Bacterial small subunit ribosomal RNA
Source: RNAcentral
AUUGAACGCUGGCGGAAUGCUUUACACAUGCAAGUCGAGCGGCAGCACGGGGGCAGCCCUGGUUGCGAGUGGCGAACGGGUGAGUAAUACAUCGGAACGUGCCCGGUCGUGGGGGAUAACGUAGCGAAAGUUACGCUAAUACCGCAUACGAUCUGAGGAUGAAAGCGGGGGACCUUCGGGCCUCGCGCGAUCGGAGCGGCCGAUGUCAGAGUAGGUAGUUGGUGGGGUAAAGGCCUACCAAGCCGACGAUCUGUAGCUGGUCUGAGAGGACGACCAGCCACACUGGGACUGAGACACGGCCCAGACUCCUACGGGAGGCAGCAGUGGGGAAUUUUGGACAAUGGGCGCAAGCCUGAUCCAGCCAUUCCGCGUGCAGGACGAAGGCCUUCGGGUUGUAAACUGCUUUUGUACGGAACGAAAAGGCUCUGGCUAAUACCUGGGGCUCAUGACGGUACCGUAAGAAUAAGCACCGGCUAACUACGUG